GAGCAAUGAUGUUUACUUGCACAAUUUGUGAACAAUUGGGUUUUCACACGCAUCUGAUUCAAGAUGAAAUAUUGUGCAUCUGAGCUC
This 87-nucleotide small nucleolar RNA is filed under the name Solanum tuberosum (potato). Its description in RNAcentral is "small nucleolar RNA snoR114". It matches the Rfam family "small nucleolar RNA snoR114". The record is from Rfam by way of RNAcentral. Lineage: Eukaryota; Viridiplantae; Streptophyta; Magnoliopsida; Solanales; Solanaceae.